AACACACAUCGUCAUGGCGUCAGUAAUGAAUGGUACAGUCCAUCGUAUCUGAGAUCGUCACUCUAGCUUCUCUCUGCGUGCGUGCUUGUAGUUUCCUGUGAAGGGUUGAUGCAGGAGAUAACCAUGGCGGCCACUGAGAUAGCGCGACAAGCGGGAGAGGGUGCACGUGCCGUCCCACUCUCUGGUCAUGUUGGCUUUGACAGCAUGCCAGAUCAGCUGGUCAACAAGUCCGUCAACCAUGGCUUCUGCUUCAAUAUCCUCUGUGUGGGGGAGACGGGUUUGGGAAAGUCCACCCUCAUGGACACCCUGUUCAACACCAAAUUUGAGGGUGAACCUACACAGCACAAUCAGCCUGGAGUGCAGCUCAAGUCCAACACUUACGAGCUGCAGGAGAGCAACGUUCGUCUCAAGCUCACUGUGGUCAACACUGUAGGCUUUGGAGAUCAGAUCAACAAAGAGGACAGUUACAAGUCAAUUGUGGAGUUCAUUGAUGCUCAGUUUGAAGCGUACCUUCAGGAGGAACUGAAGAUUAAACGCACCCUACACAGUUAUCAUGAUACACGGAUCCAUGCCUGUCUGUAUUUUAUUGCUCCCACUGGACACUCACUAAAGUCCCUUGACCUGGUUACUAUGAAGAAGUUGGACAGUAAGGUGAAUAUCAUCCCCAUCGUUGCCAAAUCAGAUGCCAUCUCAAAGAGUGAACUUGCUAAGUUCAAAAUUAAGAUCACAAGUGAAUUGGUGAGCAAUGGUGUCCAGAUCUACCAGUUUCCCACUGACGAUGAGACCGUGGCAGAGAUCAACUCAACAAUGAAUGGUCAUUUGCCUUUUGCGGUAGUGGGAAGCACUGAGGAAGUGAAGAUUGGGAACAAGAUGGUUCGAGCACGCCAGUACCCCUGGGGAACCGUCCAGGUGGAGAAUGAGAAUCACUGUGAUUUUGUGAAGCUGAGAGAAAUGCUGAUAAGGGUCAACAUGGAGGACCUGCGAGAACAGACUCACACUCGCCAUUAUGAGCUGUACCGCCGUUGCAAGCUGGAGGAGAUGGGAUUCAAAGACACUGAUCCUGACAGCAAACCCUUCAGCCUACAGGAAACAUACGAGGCCAAAAGGAAUGAGUUUAUGGGUGAGCUGCAGAAGAAAGAGGAGGAAAUGAGGCAAAUGUUUGUCCAGAGAGUCAAAGAGAAGGAGGCAGAGCUGAAAGAGGCAGAAAAGGAGCUUCAUGAAAAGUUUGACCGUCUUAAGAAGCUUCACCAGGAUGAGAAGAAGAAACUCGAGGACAAGAAGAAGUCUCUCGAUGAUGAGCUGAACAGCUUCAAGCAGAAGAAGACCGCUGCUGAGCUGCUGCAGGCCCAGACCCAGCAGGCAGGGAGCUCCUCCACACUUAAGAAGGAUAAAGAGAGGAAAAAUUGAUUUGCCUCAAGUUGAUCACCUGACAAUUAAUUGGAAAGAAGACACUUGCAUUGACAAGUUCAGGAUUCCUGUAGAAAGUGCUCCCCCUGCCCGCUGUGAAUGAGCUCUUCCCUCCUCAGUGUUCCUGAGCCAUGCUGUUCCCAUUCCCUCCCCCCCUCUCUCUUCCGUUCCCCCAGUUUCACGCAUAACGCACCUGAGGAGGGAUAUUAACUGUGAAUGGAAUCCUUCUUUAGAUGGUUUAACUCCUUUUUUUUAUGACAUGCUAUUGUUUCUUUUUCUUUGUGUAACUUGCUGUGUUAUGAUAUCAUGAUGAUAUUGCUUUGCUCUGCAUGACUAGUGUUUGAUUCAACUUUAACACGAGUGGCUACUGUUAUGGGUAUGCAGUAGUUGAGUACACAGGUUAAAAUGGGACAAAUUAUAUUAGUAAUACCAUAAUUGUCAUUAGUGUUAUAAUAGAAAGAUGUAUGAGCUGCUUUCAGUUCGGUCCUGCAGUAAGAUUUAAGGCUUUUUUUUAUCCUAGUUUCCAACAGAUUGGUUAGAAUUUAGGAACGUUAGUAAUGAUAUUUUUAGCUCAUGUAUGUUAUACAGAUGUUAUACAACCGGUCAUUGCUAUGCUUGUAUUAGUUUAGAAAAACUUUGGCACAUUUCAUCCAAAUGUAAGCACAUUUUUAUAGCUUUUUAUUUUUGUGACAUUUUAUUUUUCACAAAAUUAAUAAUAAAAAAUAAACUUUCUAAUAUCGAUUGCAAAAGGGACUAAUAUUUGCAUCAGUAAUAAAGGGCAUUCUUUCAUAAACCUUUAAACUGUGCGCAAGUCAUUGUGUAUGAAUAUCAGACAAUGUAAUUCUACAUAUUAUUAUUUGCACUAUUCAUAAAAUGUUUAUGCACUCGGGGUGACAUGGCCAGUGUUUGAUUUGCUUACUCUGCAUUGAAAAAUCUUGAUUCCUCAGUUGAUGCUUUGAUUAUUUGCUUUAGGGAGAAGCUGGACUUUCACGUUUGGAGCAAUUUACUACAUCUGUAUGCUUAACUGAGCAUAUGUAAUAAGACUAAAUAUACAUCUGAAUUUAUUGUCUAAGGGUUCGGCCUAUAUUCUCAAGUGAAGUGUUUGACAAAUUAACUGAACUUCAUUAUAAGAUCCUUAUAUGACCAAAUUCUGUCUAGGUGAGUCAGUUUUCUGACUCGCUGCAGGAAAUGACAGUUUCUUAAGUUGUAACUUAUAUUUUCAAAGCUACGGUUAAAUAUACCAGACUAUUCAGCAAAAAAAAAAAAAAAGUUGGUUCUGUGCUGGAUGAGUGUUUUGUGUUGUAUCUGGAUGCUGGUCUUUCAACAGGUGGCAUUUAUGUGAUUGAUAUUUAUCACCUAUUAACGCUUUUGCUCCCUCCAGCGUCCCUGCUCACUGCCGUGUGUGUAUUUACUUUCCUUUGCAGUAUUCCCUGGCUCUGCACUGAGUAGUAUGGCUUUGAUAAGGGACCAGGCCCAGACUCUUUGGUUAACCCGGUAGCCCAAGGGGAGGCAGUGUGGACCAAGCUGUCUCAUAAGUCACCUCUUGUAUUUUGAUUUUGGGCUCUUUCUGCAGCUUUUACUAACACUGUAAUUAUUGUGUUACCAAAACCUUUGCUUUAGGCUGUGCUUUUUUUGCAGUGUAUCUUUUGUGAUGCUUUGUGUGACUAAUAUGCUUAAAGGGAAUAGUUCACCCAAAAAUAUUAACCUGCUGAAACUUUAGUCACUCUCUGACCAAGAAGAUGUAGAUGAGUUUGUUUCUUCAUCAGAACAAAAUUGGAUAGGCUAGCAUUACAUCACUUGCUCACCAAUGGGUUCUCUGCAGUGAAUGGGUGCCGUCAAAAUGAAAAUUCAAACGGCUGAUAAAAGCAUCAACUCAAAGUUUUCACCCAUUCACUUCAGAUGAUCAAUUGGUUAGUAAGUAACGUAAAACUUAAUUUCUCCAAAUCUGUUCCAGUGAUGAAAGAAACUUAUC
Carassius gibelio (silver crucian carp) is the source of this 3379-nucleotide RNA transcript. It is a transcript of the gene named septin-6, with no coding region annotated. The transcript is spliced from 11 exons. NCBI's taxonomy places the organism in Eukaryota, Metazoa, Chordata, Actinopteri, Cypriniformes, Cyprinidae. The record is from RefSeq and is a predicted model, not a curated record.